CCUACGGGAGGCAGCAGUGAGGAAUAUUGGUCAAUGGACGAGAGUCUGAACCAGCCAAGUAGCGUGAAGGAUGACGGCCCUAUGGGUUGUAAACUUCUUUUAUAUGGGAAUAAAAUGUUCCACGUGUGGGAUUUUGUAUGUACCAUAUGAAUAAGGAUCGGCUAACUCCGUGCCAGCAGCCGCGGUCAUACGGAGGAUGCGAGCGUUAUCCGGAUUUAUUGGGUUUAAAGGGAGCGUAGGUGGGUUGUUAAGUCAGUUGUGAAAGUUUGCGGCUCAACCGUAAAAUUGCAGUUGAAACUGUGAGUCUUGAGUGCAGUAGAGGUAGGCGGAAUUCGGGGUGUAGCGGUGAAAUGCUUAGAUAUCACGAAGAACUCCGAUUGCGAAGGCAGCUUACUGGACUGCAACUGACACUGAGGCUCGAAAGUGUGGGUAGCAAACAGGAUUAGAUACCCCAGUAGUC
Molecule: ribosomal RNA, 460 nt
Filed under: uncultured bacterium
Lineage: Bacteria
Description: partial 16S ribosomal RNA
Rfam family: Bacterial small subunit ribosomal RNA
Source: RNAcentral